This 226-nucleotide long non-coding RNA is filed under the name Mytilus galloprovincialis (Mediterranean mussel). Lineage: Eukaryota; Metazoa; Mollusca; Bivalvia; Mytilida; Mytilidae. The record is from RNAcentral.
CAUAUAAAUACCAUCAAAAAUGAACUAAGCACCACGGGAGGUGGCUUCCCUCCCAUCACUCCAACAAACGGAUAAAAGAGUAUGAAAUACCCUUUGGGGGUCUAACAUAGUUUGUAAGGUCCAUUGGUCAAUAUGCACCUGCGGUUCAAUCUAUAAGUUCAUGGGGUCUUUUAGGGUAUAUUUCAUUAAAAAAAAAUAUAAGCACCACCGAAAACGGACUUAGCAC